RNAcentral lists this transfer RNA (74 nucleotides) under Candidatus Woesearchaeota archaeon. RNAcentral describes it as "tRNA-Pro". It matches the Rfam family "tRNA". Rfam says of the family: Transfer RNA (tRNA) molecules are approximately 80 nucleotides in length. Their secondary structure includes four short double-helical elements and three loops (D, anti-codon, and T loops). The record is from RNAcentral. Lineage: Archaea; Nanobdellati; Candidatus Woesearchaeota.
GGGGCUGUGGUGCAACUUGGCUAACAUACGAGGUUUGGGACCUUGUGAUCUCGGUUCAAAUCCGGGCAGCCCCA